CCUACGGGUGGCAGCAGUGAGGAAUAUUGGUCAAUGGACGCAAGUCUGAACCAGCCAAGUAGCGUGAAGGAUGACUGCCCUAUGGGUUGUAAACUUCUUUUAUACGGGAAUAAAACGAGGCACGUGUGCCUUUUUGCAUGUACUUUAUGAAUAAGGAUCGGCUAACUCCGUGCCAGCAGCCGCGGUAAUACGGAGGAUCCGAGCGUUAUCCGGAUUUAUUGGGUUUAAAGGGAGCGUAGAUGGGUUGUUAAGUCAGUUGUGAAAUGUUGCGGCUCAACCGUAAAAUUGCAAUUGAUACUGGGAGUCUUGAGUACAGCUGAGGUAGGCGGAAUUCGUGGUGUAGCGGUGAAAUGCUUAGAUAUCACGAAGAACCCCGAUUGCGAAGGCAGCUUACCAAACUGUGACUGACAUUGAGGCUCGAAAGUGUGGGUAUCAAACAGGAUUAGAUACCCCAGUAGUC
This 460-nucleotide ribosomal RNA is filed under the name uncultured bacterium. Its description in RNAcentral is "partial 16S ribosomal RNA". It matches the Rfam family "Bacterial small subunit ribosomal RNA", at positions 338 to 795 of the family's 1533-position model. The record is from RNAcentral.